GAUGAACGCUGGCGGCGUGCCUAAUACAUGCAAGUCGAGCGAACGGACGAGAAGCUUGCUUCUCUGAUGUUAGCGGCGGACGGGUGAGUAACACGUGGAUAACCUACCUAUAAGACUGGGAUAACUUCGGGAAACCGGAGCUAAUACCGGAUAAUAUUUUGAACCGCAUGGUUCAAAAGUGAAAGACGGUCUUGCUGUCACUUAUAGAUGGAUCCGCGCUGCAUUAGCUAGUUGGUAAGGUAACGGCUUACCAAGGCAACGAUGCAUAGCCGACCUGAGAGGGUGAUCGGCCACACUGGAACUGAGACACGGUCCAGACUCCUACGGGAGGCAGCAGUAGGGAAUCUGCCGCAAUGGGCGAAAGACUGACGGAGCAAAGCCGCGUGAGUGAUGAAGGUCUUCGGAUCGUAAAACUCUGUUAUUAGGGAAGAACAUAUGUGUAAGUAACUGUGCACAUCUUGACGGUACCUAAUCAGAAAGCCACGGCUAACUACGUG
This 497-nucleotide ribosomal RNA is filed under the name uncultured bacterium. RNAcentral's name for it is "partial 16S ribosomal RNA". It matches the Rfam family "Bacterial small subunit ribosomal RNA", at positions 28 to 507 of the family's 1533-position model. The record is from RNAcentral.